Molecule: ribosomal RNA, 650 nt
Filed under: uncultured bacterium
Lineage: Bacteria
Description: bacterial SSU rRNA
Rfam family: Bacterial small subunit ribosomal RNA
Source: RNAcentral
GCUCAGGACGAACGCUGGCGGCGUGCUUAACACAUGCAAGUCGAACGGAAAGGCCCUGCUUUUGUGGGGUGCUCGAGUGGCGAACGGGUGAGUAACACGUGAGUAACCUGCCCUUGACUUUGGGAUAACUUCAGGAAACUGGGCCUAAUACCGGAUAGGAGCUCCUGCUGCAUGGUGGGGGUUGGAAAGUUUCGGCGGUUGGGGAUGGACUCGCGGCUUAUCAGCUUGUUGGUGGGGUAGUGGCUUACCAAGGCUUUGACGGGUAGCCGGCCUGAGAGGGUGACCGGCCACAUUGGGACUGAGAUACGGCCCAGACUCCUACGGGAGGCAGCAGUGGGGAAUAUUGCACAAUGGGCGGAAGCCUGAUGCAGCAACGCCGCGUGCGGGAUGACGGCCUUCGGGUUGUAAACCGCUUUCGCCUGUGACGAAGCGUGAGUGACGGUAAUGGGUAAAGAAGCACCGGCUAACUACGUGCCAGCAGCCGCGGUGAUACGUAGGGUGCGAGCGUUGUCCGGAUUUAUUGGGCGUAAAGGGCUCGUAGGUGGUUGAUCGCGUCGGAAGUGUAAUCUUGGGGCUUAACCCUGAGCGUGCUUUCGAUACGGGUUGACUUGAGGAAGGUAGGGGAGAAUGGAAUUCCUGGUGGAGCGGUG